GAAGUAUACCCAUAGUAAGCUUCUAACUUAACUAUAAAGCGAUAAUUUCGUUUAUACUUCU
Molecule: transfer RNA, 61 nt
Filed under: Donacia distincta
Lineage: Eukaryota; Metazoa; Arthropoda; Insecta; Coleoptera; Chrysomelidae
Description: tRNA-Ser
Source: RNAcentral